Molecule: ribosomal RNA, 1149 nt
Filed under: Triticum aestivum (bread wheat)
Lineage: Eukaryota; Viridiplantae; Streptophyta; Magnoliopsida; Poales; Poaceae
Description: partial small subunit ribosomal RNA
Source: RNAcentral
AUGUCAAGGGACAGGGCACCAGGACCUGACGAGUUCAACGGAGCGUUCUAUAGAUCUUGCUGGGCAAUUAUCAAGGCAGAUGUUAUUCUUGCUCUCAACCAGUUCUACUGUUGCUCUGGCCAAAACUUCAGUGAGCUCAACUCUGCUCACGUGGCUCUGCUGCCCAAAAAGGAUGGGACUAUUAAGAUGGCUGAUUACCACCCCAUCAGUCUCAUUCAUUCCAUGGCAAAGCUCAUUGCAAAAGUGAUGUCCAUCCGCCUGUCAAAGAUCAUUCAUCUAAUUAUCUCACCUGCCCAAACAGCCUUCAUGAAGACCAAAUGCAUACAUGACAGCUUCAUGUAUGUUCAGAACGGAGUCCGGUCGCUGCACAGGAAAAGCACGCCGGUAGUGCUGCUGAAACUUGACAUCACCAUGGCUUUUGACAGUAUAUCUUGGUCCUAUCUGCUUGAGCUCAUGCAACGGUUGGGCUUCAGUUCUAGAUGGCGGGACUAGGUGGCGAUGCUGCUCUCAACCUCGCACUCAUCCUUCCUGCUCAACGGCUUGCCCGGGCAGCCGGUCUGGCAUAGAAAGGAGCUAAGGCAGGGCGACCCCCUUUCUCCGCUGCUGUUCAUCAUCGCCAUUGACCCCUUGCACCGGCUGUUGCAAGCUGCUGGUGACUUAGGACUGCUCCAACCUUUGCUGGGUAGGGAAAUCAAACUGAGGGUCAACCUAUAUGCGGAUGAUGCGAUCAUAUUCGCUAACCCGAUCAAGGAUGAGAUUGAAACACUCAUGCAAAUCGUGCACUGCUUUGGGGAAGCCUCUGGCCUGAAAAUCAACCUUCAGAAGUCCACGGCCACGCCGAUCAGAUGCUCGGACAUCGAUAUGGAGCAGGUUCUGCAGAGUUUCGGCGGACAGCUCGUGCACUUCCCCCUCACAUACGUGGGGCUGCCAAUCACCAUCAAAUUCCUUAGGUUUGUGCACCUGCAGUUUGUUUUGGACAGGAUCCGGGCCCGUCUCGCCGGGUGGAAAGGAAAGCUACUAUCUAUUGCUGCCUGGAGGGUGCUCGUCAGGGCUGCCCUAAGCUCGCUGGCAACUUUUGCAAUCACAGCGCUGCGGGUACCCGAAAAAUUCCUCAAGGAAGUGGACAAAUGUCGCCAUAAAUUCCUCUAG